AGUGAACGCUGGCGGUAGGCCUAACACAUGCAAGUCGAACGGCAGCACAGUAAGAGCUUGCUCUUACGGGUGGCGAGUGGCGGACGGGUGAGGAAUACAUCGGAAUCUACUUUUUCGUGGGGGAUAACAUAGGGAAACUUACGCUAAUACCGCAUACGACCUACGGGUGAAAGCAGUGGAUCUUCGGACCUUGCGCGAUUGAAUGAGCCGAUGUCGGAUUAGCUAGUUGGCGGGGUAAAGGCCCACCAAGGCGACGAUCCGUAGCUGGUCUGAGAGGAUGAUCAGCCACACUGGAACUGAGACACGGUCCAGACUCCUACGGGAGGCAGCAGUGGGGAAUAUUGGACAAUGGGCGCAAGCCUGAUCCAGCCAUACCGCGUGAGUGAAGAAGGCCUUCGGGUUGUAAAGCCCUUUUGUUGGGAAAGAAAAGCAGCAGGUUAAUACCCCGCUGUUCUGACGGUACCCAAAGAAUAAGCACCGGCUAACUUCGUG
RNAcentral lists this ribosomal RNA (492 nucleotides) under uncultured bacterium. RNAcentral's name for it is "partial 16S ribosomal RNA". It matches the Rfam family "Bacterial small subunit ribosomal RNA", at positions 29 to 507 of the family's 1533-position model. The record is from RNAcentral.